Long non-coding RNA from Humulus lupulus (European hop), 383 nucleotides. RefSeq lists it as uncharacterized. Lineage: Eukaryota; Viridiplantae; Streptophyta; Magnoliopsida; Rosales; Cannabaceae. The record is from RefSeq and is a predicted model, not a curated record. The transcript has 2 exons.
AAAGGAAUUGGAGUUGGAUUCACUAUUGGAUUUUGUGGAGUAUGUGUCAAUUUAGAGACGAUAAAGCAUUAUUGGAGAAAUUCUUAUUUUGUAAUCAUGCAUAGCCUGAGAAAUGUUCUAUCAAAGGCACUGCGCUGAGAAGAAAGCUUACUGCAAUUGACAGUAGAUUCCUCUGGUGAUGAAGAUCAGACUUAGUGGCUGCAAGGAUUCUAAGAGUUCAAAGUUUAAAAACAACAGAAUUAAUGGGUCAAGCUUGAAGCAUUUGAAUAACUAUUCUUUUUUUAGUAGUUGAUGCUUUUGACUAUUGUUAAGUAAGUUUGUAAACUUUGUUUCUACAAUUACACUUACCAAACAAGAGAUUCAAACACUUGAUGUUCAACCGA